RNAcentral lists this ribosomal RNA (2902 nucleotides) under Escherichia coli. RNAcentral's name for it is "bacterial LSU rRNA". It matches the Rfam family "Bacterial large subunit ribosomal RNA". Lineage: Bacteria; Pseudomonadati; Pseudomonadota; Gammaproteobacteria; Enterobacterales; Enterobacteriaceae. The record is from RNAcentral.
UUAAGCGACUAAGCGUACACGGUGGAUGCCCUGGCAGUCAGAGGCGAUGAAGGACGUGCUAAUCUGCGAUAAGCGUCGGUAAGGUGAUAUGAACCGUUAUAACCGGCGAUUUCCGAAUGGGGAAACCCAGUGUGUUUCGACACACUAUCAUUAACUGAAUCCAUAGGUUAAUGAGGCGAACCGGGGGAACUGAAACAUCUAAGUACCCCGAGGAAAAGAAAUCAACCGAGAUUCCCCCAGUAGCGGCGAGCGAACGGGGAGCAGCCCAGAGCCUGAAUCAGUGUGUGUGUUAGUGGAAGCGUCUGGAAAGGCGCGCGAUACAGGGUGACAGCCCCGUACACAAAAAUGCACAUGCUGUGAGCUCGAUGAGUAGGGCGGGACACGUGGUAUCCUGUCUGAAUAUGGGGGGACCAUCCUCCAAGGCUAAAUACUCCUGACUGACCGAUAGUGAACCAGUACCGUGAGGGAAAGGCGAAAAGAACCCCGGCGAGGGGAGUGAAAAAGAACCUGAAACCGUGUACGUACAAGCAGUGGGAGCACGCUUAGGCGUGUGACUGCGUACCUUUUGUAUAAUGGGUCAGCGACUUAUAUUCUGUAGCAAGGUUAACCGAAUAGGGGAGCCGAAGGGAAACCGAGUCUUAACUGGGCGUUAAGUUGCAGGGUAUAGACCCGAAACCCGGUGAUCUAGCCAUGGGCAGGUUGAAGGUUGGGUAACACUAACUGGAGGACCGAACCGACUAAUGUUGAAAAAUUAGCGGAUGACUUGUGGCUGGGGGUGAAAGGCCAAUCAAACCGGGAGAUAGCUGGUUCUCCCCGAAAGCUAUUUAGGUAGCGCCUCGUGAAUUCAUCUCCGGGGGUAGAGCACUGUUUCGGCAAGGGGGUCAUCCCGACUUACCAACCCGAUGCAAACUGCGAAUACCGGAGAAUGUUAUCACGGGAGACACACGGCGGGUGCUAACGUCCGUCGUGAAGAGGGAAACAACCCAGACCGCCAGCUAAGGUCCCAAAGUCAUGGUUAAGUGGGAAACGAUGUGGGAAGGCCCAGACAGCCAGGAUGUUGGCUUAGAAGCAGCCAUCAUUUAAAGAAAGCGUAAUAGCUCACUGGUCGAGUCGGCCUGCGCGGAAGAUGUAACGGGGCUAAACCAUGCACCGAAGCUGCGGCAGCGACGCUGAUGCGUUGUUGGGUAGGGGAGCGUUCUGUAAGCCUGCGAAGGUGUGCUGUGAGGCAUGCUGGAGGUAUCAGAAGUGCGAAUGCUGACAUAAGUAACGAUAAAGCGGGUGAAAAGCCCGCUCGCCGGAAGACCAAGGGUUCCUGUCCAACGUUAAUCGGGGCAGGGUGAGUCGACCCCUAAGGCGAGGCCGAAAGGCGUAGUCGAUGGGAAACAGGUUAAUAUUCCUGUACUUGGUGUUACUGCGAAGGGGGGACGGAGAAGGCUAUGUUGGCCGGGCGACGGUUGUCCCGGUUUAAGCGUGUAGGCUGGUUUUCCAGGCAAAUCCGGAAAAUCAAGGCUGAGGCGUGAUGACGAGGCACUACGGUGCUGAAGCAACAAAUGCCCUGCUUCCAGGAAAAGCCUCUAAGCAUCAGGUAACAUCAAAUCGUACCCCAAACCGACACAGGUGGUCAGGUAGAGAAUACCAAGGCGCUUGAGAGAACUCGGGUGAAGGAACUAGGCAAAAUGGUGCCGUAACUUCGGGAGAAGGCACGCUGAUAUGUAGGUGAAGUCCCUUGCGGAUGGAGCUGAAAUCAGUCGAAGAUACCAGCUGGCUGCAACUGUUUAUUAAAAACACAGCACUGUGCAAACACGAAAGUGGACGUAUACGGUGUGACGCCUGCCCGGUGCCGGAAGGUUAAUUGAUGGGGUCAGCGCAAGCGAAGCUCUUGAUCGAAGCCCCGGUAAACGGCGGCCGUAACUAUAACGGUCCUAAGGUAGCGAAAUUCCUUGUCGGGUAAGUUCCGACCUGCACGAAUGGCGUAAUGAUGGCCAGGCUGUCUCCACCCGAGACUCAGUGAAAUUGAACUCGCUGUGAAGAUGCAGUGUACCCGCGGCAAGACGGAAAGACCCCGUGAACCUUUACUAUAGCUUGACACUGAACAUUGAGCCUUGAUGUGUAGGAUAGGUGGGAGGCUUAGAAGUGUGGACGCCAGUCUGCAUGGAGCCGACCUUGAAAUACCACCCUUUAAUGUUUGAUGUUCUAACGUGGACCCGUGAUCCGGGUUGCGGACAGUGUCUGGUGGGUAGUUUGACUGGGGCGGUCUCCUCCUAAAGAGUAACGGAGGAGCACGAAGGUUGGCUAAUCCUGGUCGGACAUCAGGAGGUUAGUGCAAUGGCAUAAGCCAGCUUGACUGCGAGCGUGACGGCGCGAGCAGGUGCGAAAGCAGGUCAUAGUGAUCCGGUGGUUCUGAAUGGAAGGGCCAUCGCUCAACGGAUAAAAGGUACUCCGGGGAUAACAGGCUGAUACCGCCCAAGAGUUCAUAUCGACGGCGGUGUUUGGCACCUCGAUGUCGGCUCAUCACAUCCUGGGGCUGAAGUAGGUCCCAAGGGUAUGGCUGUUCGCCAUUUAAAGUGGUACGCGAGCUGGGUUUAGAACGUCGUGAGACAGUUCGGUCCCUAUCUGCCGUGGGCGCUGGAGAACUGAGGGGGGCUGCUCCUAGUACGAGAGGACCGGAGUGGACGCAUCACUGGUGUUCGGGUUGUCAUGCCAAUGGCACUGCCCGGUAGCUAAAUGCGGAAGAGAUAAGUGCUGAAAGCAUCUAAGCACGAAACUUGCCCCGAGAUGAGUUCUCCCUGACCCUUUAAGGGUCCUGAAGGAACGUUGAAGACGACGACGUUGAUAGGCCGGGUGUGUAAGCGCAGCGAUGCGUUGAGCUAACCGGUACUAAUGAACCGUGAGGCUUAACCUU